GACGAACGCUGGCGGCGUGCUUAACACAUGCAAGUCGAGCGGAAAGGCCCUUUCGGGGGUACUCGAGCGGCGAACGGGUGAGUAACACGUGAGUAAUCUGCCCUUGGCUUUGGGAUAACUACCGGAAACGGUGGCUAAUACCGGAUAUGACCAUGCUCGGCAUCGGGUGUGGUGGAAAAGUUUUUUCGGCCAGGGAUGUGCUCGCGGCCUAUCAGCUUGUUGGUGGGGUAAUGGCCUACCAAGGCUUCGACGGGUAGCCGGCCUGAGAGGGUGACCGGCCACACUGGGACUGAGACACGGCCCAGACUCCUACGGGAGGCAGCAGUGGGGAAUAUUGGACAAUGGGCGAAGCCUGAUCCAGCAACGCCGCGUGAGGGAUGACGGCC
RNAcentral lists this ribosomal RNA (386 nucleotides) under uncultured bacterium. RNAcentral describes it as "bacterial SSU rRNA". It matches the Rfam family "Bacterial small subunit ribosomal RNA", at positions 28 to 416 of the family's 1533-position model. The record is from RNAcentral.